CACGUAGGGACCGAGCGUUGUCCGGAUUUAUUGGGCGUAAAGAGCUCGUAGGCGGUUCGUCGCGUCGGCUGUGAAAUCCCGAGGCUCAACCUCGGGUCUGCAGUCGAUACGGGCGGACUGGAGUUCGGCAGGGGAGACUGGAAUUCCUGGUGUAGCGGUGAAAUGCGCAGAUAUCAGGAGGAACACCGGUGGCGAAGGCGGGUCUCUGGGCCGAUACUGACGCUGAGGAGCGAAAGCGUGGGGAGCGAACAGG
RNAcentral lists this ribosomal RNA (253 nucleotides) under uncultured bacterium. RNAcentral describes it as "partial 16S ribosomal RNA". It matches the Rfam family "Bacterial small subunit ribosomal RNA", at positions 524 to 776 of the family's 1533-position model. The record is from RNAcentral.